UGUGGAUUAAUUCGAUGCAACGCGAAAAACCUUACCUACCCUUGACAUGUCUGGAACCUUGCUGAGAGGCGAGGGUGCCUUCGGGAGCCAGAACACAGGUGCUGCAUGGCUGUCGUCAGCUCGUGUCGUGAGAUGUUGGGUUAAGUCCCGCAACGAGCGCAACCCUUGUCAUUAGUUGCCAUCAUUUAGUUGGGCACUCUAAUGAGACUGCCGGUGACAAACCGGAGGAAGGUGGGGAUGACGUCAAGUCCUCAUGGCCCUUAUGGGUAGGGCUUCACACGUCAUACAAUGGUCGGUACAGAGGGUUGCCAAGCCGCGAGGUGGAGCCAAUCCCAGAAAGCCGAUCGUAGUCCGGAUUGUUCUCUGCAACUCGAGAGCAUGAAGUCGGAAUCGCUAGUAAUCGCGGAUCAGCAUGUCGCGGUGAAUACGUUCCCGGGUCUU
Molecule: ribosomal RNA, 441 nt
Filed under: uncultured Thauera sp.
Lineage: Bacteria; Pseudomonadati; Pseudomonadota; Betaproteobacteria; Rhodocyclales; Zoogloeaceae
Description: bacterial SSU rRNA
Rfam family: Bacterial small subunit ribosomal RNA
Source: RNAcentral